This is a non-coding RNA of Atopobium deltae, 420 nucleotides long. It matches the Rfam family "Bacterial RNase P class A". From Rfam's summary of the family: Ribonuclease P (RNase P) is a ubiquitous endoribonuclease, found in archaea, bacteria and eukarya as well as chloroplasts and mitochondria. Its best characterised activity is the generation of mature 5'-ends of tRNAs by cleaving the 5'-leader elements of precursor-tRNAs. The record is from Rfam. Lineage: Bacteria; Bacillati; Actinomycetota; Coriobacteriia; Coriobacteriales; Atopobiaceae.
GAAGUGAGCUCGACGAUCGCGGAUGCGUGCCUGUAGAUAAGUAUAUAUCUGCCGCAGCCAUGCAUAUGAGGAAAGUCCGGGCUCCACAGGGCACGAUGCUGGCUAACGACCAGGCGGAGAAAUCCGACGGAAAGCGCCGCAGAAAAGAAGACUCCCACUGCCUGCGCGACACGCACAACUUGUCUAGGACAGGUCAACGUGGCAAGCGGGUAAGAGAAAAGCUGAAACGGUAGUGUAAGAGACUACCAGCGUCGUAGCAAUACGGCGGCUUGGCAAGCCCCAUCUGGAGCAAACGCAAAUAGGAGCGCGGCGAAGCUGCCCGCUGAGCGCUCGGGUUGCGCGCUAGAGCAUCGUGGUAACACGGAUGCGUAGAUAAAUGAUCGUCCACGACAGAACCCGGCUUAUAGGCUCACUUCGCAU